Mycena rosella is the source of this 97-nucleotide non-coding RNA. The record is from the annotation of a GenBank genome assembly. Lineage: Eukaryota; Fungi; Basidiomycota; Agaricomycetes; Agaricales; Mycenaceae.
UCGGGCGUGGUGCACGGCGCACGGCGGCUACCAUUCCUGAUUUCGUCGAGUGGAAUGUUGCAAGCCGAAGCCCGGGGUUCGACUCCCCGCGCCCGAA